This 326-nucleotide unclassified non-coding RNA is filed under the name soil metagenome. RNAcentral describes it as "partial contains 5.8S ribosomal RNA, internal transcribed spacer 2, and large subunit ribosomal RNA". The stretch from base 1 to 120 matches the Rfam family "5.8S ribosomal RNA", at positions 35 to 154 of the family's 154-position model. The record is from RNAcentral.
GAUGAAGAACGUAGCGAAAUGCGAUAAGUAGUGUGAAUUGCAGAAUUCAGUGAAUCAUCGAAUCUUUGAACGCACAUUGCGCCCCUUGGUAUUCCAUGGGGCAUGCCUGUUCGAGCGUCAUUUGAACUCUCAAGCUUUGCUUGGUGUUGGGUGUUUGUCCUUUUAGGACUCGCCUCAAAAGAAUUGGCAGCCAGCGUAUUAGUCUUGGAGCGCAGCACAUUUUGCGAUCUAGCUAGUAAAUUGGCAACCAUCAAGCCUGUUUUAACACUUGACCUCGGAUCAGGUAGGGAUACCCGCUGAACUUAAGCAUAUCAAUAAGCGGAGGA